Vollenhovia emeryi is the source of this 297-nucleotide long non-coding RNA. RefSeq lists it as uncharacterized. The transcript has 3 exons. The record is from RefSeq and is a predicted model, not a curated record. Lineage: Eukaryota; Metazoa; Arthropoda; Insecta; Hymenoptera; Formicidae.
UCGUUGCAGAGCCGAAAACUGGUUUCCAAAUCGCCUUCAAUAUGUUCGAUAUCGACGGAAACGAGAGAGUCGACAAAACCGAGUUUCUCGUGAUUCGCCGUUUACUUGGCGGCAGCCUGAGGAACGGGAUCUCGACGAGCCGACAAAACGUGCAUUACGUGCCAUAAUGGCCCCGAGCGAAGAGAUUCUAGGCAGGGCGAAACUUCGCGAAGCUCAUCCGAAUAAAUCAAACGAAAUCGUCCCAAGUUCUUACGUAAGUCUGCAAAUAUGUAAAACGCUGUAAAUUACGCUGUUGUG